Molecule: transfer RNA, 77 nt
Filed under: Verrucomicrobiota bacterium
Lineage: Bacteria; Pseudomonadati; Verrucomicrobiota
Also listed under: 1 other name
Description: Verrucomicrobia bacterium (groundwater metagenome) tRNA-Pro
Rfam family: tRNA
About the family: Transfer RNA (tRNA) molecules are approximately 80 nucleotides in length. Their secondary structure includes four short double-helical elements and three loops (D, anti-codon, and T loops). Further hydrogen bonds mediate the characteristic L-shaped molecular structure. tRNAs have two regions of fundamental functional importance: the anti-codon, which is responsible for specific mRNA codon recognition, and the 3' end, to which the tRNAs corresponding amino acid is attached (by aminoacyl-tRNA synthetases). tRNAs cope with the degeneracy of the genetic code in two manners: having more than one tRNA (with a specific anti-codon) for a particular amino acid; and 'wobble' base-pairing, i.e. permitting non-standard base-pairing at the 3rd anti-codon position.
Source: RNAcentral
CGGGCCGUAGCGCAGCUUGGUAGCGCGCUUGCUUGGGGUGCAAGAGGUCGAGAGUUCAAAUCUCUCCGGCCCGACCA